Cuculus canorus (common cuckoo) is the source of this 1817-nucleotide long non-coding RNA. RefSeq lists it as uncharacterized. Lineage: Eukaryota; Metazoa; Chordata; Aves; Cuculiformes; Cuculidae. The transcript is spliced from 3 exons. The record is from RefSeq and is a predicted model, not a curated record.
ACACAGGACUUUUUCCGACCCAAUCGGUCUACUAAAGAAGAGGAAACCAACCCAAAAACAAUGCUGGAGGCGAAGCCACAGACGUAGAGGAUGGCGAUCUGUCCCUCCAGGAAGUGGUAGUGCUGGUACAGUUUGUAGAGGUCGCCAACUGCUUUAAACCAAGCUGCCAGAAACAUUGUACCUUCAAGGCAGAACCUUCUGCAACACCAGGAGUUAAAGACAAAUCUGCACUUCACUGUUCUCUAAUAAAACCUAAGAGAUGUCCACUGGAGAGGAAGCUGGGCUGCAGGGUCUGUGUUUUCAACGGAUGUGACUGCAGGGAGAAGGACCUGCUGAAGUACAUUGGCAAGGCUUGCCUUGACUGCGAGAUGGGUCACUUCCUGAUGGACACUGUCAAAGUUAGGCAAAGCAGGAAACAAGGGGAGGAAGCCCGUGUCACACCGCGGUCUGUUUGCAACAGGUUCUGGACUGAGAGGAAUUGGGGGCAGGUGGAGAUGAACAUGGCCAGAAUAAGGCAAGUGGCUUUACUGAUGAAGUCACAACCAGCUUCUUCAGUUAAUAAAAAGUGGGAAAUUAAACACAUGCAAAAAUUAGAUCUGGUGAAAUGUUUUUUCCUCAAGUAGUUCAGAUUCUUGGAAGAUCCUUAGAGAUCUGAAGUGCUACACUUACGCAGAAGGGAGGAAAUGCUGUCAGCAUAGCCUGGCCACCGUCAGGGUGCCAGCUAAUCUCACGUCAUGAGUGCUGGUUAGGAGCAUCCAAGACUUGUGAGGCAUUUGGAGAGCAGUCAGGAAUUUCCAUUUACUCAGGAAAACUGAUUGGUUGAAUCAUACUCCGGGCUGAGGUUUGCAACCACGUCUUAUAGAUUCAGCCACACGUUGGGAAAUGAUCACCUUGAAGCCUAGGUUAUCUGAAAACCAAAGCCUUUAAUUUCUUUGGUGUCAAUGAAGAAGAGAAGCUCUUUACCGCACCGAGGUGUUUCUCUUGAUGAUCUGAGGGAUCUGCAAGGAAAACUGCUUCCAAGGCUGAUCUGAGUUCAAGAUCAUAACUCAGAGGAGCUGAGCUAUUAAAUAGUAGCUGCUGGUCUCAAUCUACCAUGGAAAACUUUUUCUUCUCUAAAGCCUCCCUGACAGGCAAAUAUUGCUCCACUUCUCCACUUCUCAGAUUAGGGUACAAAGAUGGUCAGGAUUUUGUUGAACCUAAAUCACUGAGAGUCUUUCAGCAAUCUCCCCUUUAUUCUAUGGCUGAAGUGCAAAGGGGUGUGAACCGAGCCAUCAAGACAAAACCAAGAUAAAGCCCUACAUUAAAUGGAAGGGCAGACUCAAGACAAUAAUGCUAAAAUCAGUAGCAGUAAGUGGAAGGCAGCAUGAUCCAAUGAUUAGUUCACCGGUGGAUGGGUAAGUCUUAAGAGAGCUUGGGCUUCCUGGAAGUGUUGGGCUUCCCGUGCUUGCCCUAUGCAAGACACCUGGCCACUCACAAUAGAAAUCAUCUGCAUGCCCUGAAGGUGCAGAAGUCAGGCUGAGUCUGUAAUAGAACCCUGCACUUUGGAAAAUUUUAGACAAAAUAAGAGAUAAAAAAACCCCUUCAAAUUCACUCAAACAAAAUAUCUGGAGAAGCGGUAGCUGCUGGGCUGGAGGAAGCUGUAAGGGAAUCCUCUGUUUCCAUACCUGCUUUCCAUCGUGAUAUGAAAUGCAAACUCUGUGGUCUUAUGCAUUUAGGACACCUAAAGGGUUAAUCAGGGCUGGUAUCUGGGGAGGAUUUAGUAACAAUUAAAGAAACCCAACCCAAUACAGCAGAUAUUACCCCUGAGCAUUCUGCAU